AGAAUCAACGCUGGCGGCGUGCCUAACACAUGCAAGUCGAACGCGAAAGCCCCGCAAGGGGCAAGUAGAGUGGCAAACGGGUGAGUAACACGUGGGUGACCUGCCUUCGAGUGGGGGAUAACGUCCCGAAAGGGACGCUAAUACCGCAUGACAUCCUGCUCUUGGACGAGCGGAGAUCAAAGCUGGGGAUCGCAAGACCUGGCGCUUGAAGAGGGGCCCGCGCCUGAUUAGCUAGUUGGUGAGGUAACGGCUCACCAAGGCAACGAUCAGUAUCCGGCCUGAGAGGGCGACGGGACACGACGUGGACUGAGACACGGCCCAGACUCCUACGGGAGCAGCAGUGGGAAUUGUCGCAAGUGGGCGCAAGCCGUAGACGACGCAACGCCGCGUGGAGGAUGAAGAUCGUUACGGGUCGUAAACUCCUGUCCGAGACGGAAGAACGUUUCGCGGUCU
Molecule: ribosomal RNA, 453 nt
Filed under: uncultured soil bacterium
Lineage: Bacteria
Description: bacterial SSU rRNA
Rfam family: Bacterial small subunit ribosomal RNA
Source: RNAcentral